Molecule: ribosomal RNA, 254 nt
Filed under: uncultured bacterium
Lineage: Bacteria
Description: partial 16S ribosomal RNA
Rfam family: Bacterial small subunit ribosomal RNA
Source: RNAcentral
UACGUAGGGUGCAAGCGUUGUCCGGAAUUAUUGGGCGUAAAGAGCUCGUAGGUGGCCUGUCGCGUCGGCUGUGAAAACUCGGGGCUCAACUCCGAGCUUGCAGUCGAUACGGGCAGGCUAGAGUUCGGCAGGGGAGACUGGAAUUCCUGGUGUAGCGGUGAAAUGCGCAGAUAUCAGGAGGAACACCGGUGGCGAAGGCGGGUCUCUGGGCCGAUACUGACACUGGAGGAGCGAAAGCGUGGGGAGCGAACAGG